Molecule: unclassified non-coding RNA, 253 nt
Filed under: uncultured Alphaproteobacteria bacterium
Lineage: Bacteria; Pseudomonadati; Pseudomonadota; Alphaproteobacteria
Description: contains 16S-23S intergenic spacer region
Rfam family: Bacterial small subunit ribosomal RNA
Source: RNAcentral
GACGGAGGAUGCUAGCGUUGUUCGGAAUCACUGGGCGUAAAGGGCGCGUAGGCGGCUGUGGCAGUCGAGUGUGAAAGCCCGGAGCUCAACUCCGGAAUUGCACUCGAGACGCCAUGGCUAGAGGCCGGAAGAGGAGGGUGGAAUACCCAGUGUAGAAGUGAAAUUCGUAGAUAUUGGGUGGAACACCGAUGGCGAAAGCGACUCUCUGGUCCGGACCUGACGCUGAGGCGCGAAAGCGUGGGGAGCAAACAGG